Molecule: long non-coding RNA, 463 nt
Filed under: Numida meleagris (helmeted guineafowl)
Lineage: Eukaryota; Metazoa; Chordata; Aves; Galliformes; Numididae
Description: lncRNA (ENSNMEG00000019320.1)
Source: RNAcentral
AAUGACCAUCUAUUUAUAGCAUUCCUCAUUACAGACUUAGAUGUUGCUUUUAAGAAAUUCUUACAUGCUCAUGCAUUUUCAUCUUCCUUCAGGCUGUUCUAUGGAAGUAACCAUAAAUUGAUCAGAAAAAAUUAAGAGCAUCCAGAUGCUGUGGAGAAAAACUGCAGAAGAAACCUUUUCUAUUUCUGUAAUUCUUAGGAAGGAAAACCCUGUUUCUUGAUGGAGUAUUACCAUCAGCAACAACCACUGAAUGGGAAGCAACAGACGGACACAAUAGCAUCUCCAGAGUGACCUCAGGUUUUCAUCCAUAUGAAACAGUUAAUCCUCAUUUGUUUAUUUUUUUCCUAUACUAUCUACAGUUACCAGAAUUCACCACCAUAUGUGAAGGUCAAGUCCACUGACAAACCUACCCUGGUAUACUGAUAAUUAAAAUAAAAAUCUAUAUGCACCUCCUCUGAGAACA